This 254-nucleotide ribosomal RNA is filed under the name uncultured bacterium. Its description in RNAcentral is "partial 16S ribosomal RNA". It matches the Rfam family "Bacterial small subunit ribosomal RNA", at positions 524 to 776 of the family's 1533-position model. The record is from RNAcentral.
GACAGAGGUGCCAAGCGUUAGGCGGAAUCACUGGGCUUAAAGCGUGUGUAGGCGGAAUGGUAAGUACCUUGUGAAAUCCCAUAGCUCAACUAUGGAACUGCUUGGUAUACUGCUUUUCUUGAGCCACUUAGGGGCUACCGGAACAAAUGGUGGAGCGGUGAAAUGCGUAGAUAUCUAGAGGAACGCCAAAGGUGAAGACAGGCGGCUGGGCCAAUUCUGACGCUGAGGCACGGAAAGCGUGGGUAGCGAACGGG